GUUUUAAUAAUUUAAAUAAAAUAAUAGUCUUGUAAACUAUCAAUAAGACCAUCUUUUAAAACA
RNAcentral lists this transfer RNA (63 nucleotides) under Staphylinoidea sp. 11 KM-2017. Its description in RNAcentral is "tRNA-Thr". The record is from RNAcentral. Lineage: Eukaryota; Metazoa; Arthropoda; Insecta; Coleoptera.